GACGAACGCUGGCGGCGCGCUUAACACAUGCAAGUCGAACGGAAAGGCCUGCUUUCCCUUGUGGAUUGCGGGUACUCGCGUGGCGAACGGGUGAGUAACACGUGAGUGAUCUGCCCCCAACUUGGGUAUAAGCCUGGGAAACUGGGUCUAAUUCCCGAUAGGACUGCAGGGUGGUGCCUGUGGUGGAAAACGAUUUUCUAGUGGUUGGGGAUGAGCUCGCGGCCUAUCAGCUUGUUGGUGGGGUAAUGGCCUACCAAGGCGGGGACGGGUAGCCGGCCUGGGAGGGUGGACGGGCACAUUGGGACUGAGAUACGGCCCAGACGCCUACGGGAGGAAGCAGUGGGGAAGAUGGCACAAUGGGCGGAAGCCUGAGGCAGCGACGCCGCGUGGGGGAUGACGGCCUUCGGGUUGUAAACUCCUUGCGACCGAGAGGAAGCCACCUGGUUGGAAGGGUGGUGACGGUAGUGGUAGAAGAAGCACCGGCUAACUACGUG
Molecule: ribosomal RNA, 494 nt
Filed under: uncultured bacterium
Lineage: Bacteria
Description: partial 16S ribosomal RNA
Rfam family: Bacterial small subunit ribosomal RNA
Source: RNAcentral